Molecule: ribosomal RNA, 406 nt
Filed under: uncultured bacterium
Lineage: Bacteria
Description: partial 16S ribosomal RNA
Rfam family: Bacterial small subunit ribosomal RNA
Source: RNAcentral
AUUGAACGCUGGCGGCAGGCCUAACACAUGCAAGUCGAACGAGUGGCGGACGGGUGAGUAAUGUCUGGGAAACUGCCUGAUGGAGGGGGAUAACUACUGGAAACGGUAGCUAAUACCGCAUACCAUAAGAUGUGCCCAGGUGGGAUUAGCUAGUUGGUGGGGUAACGGCUCACCAAGGCGACGAUCCCUAGCUGGUCUGGGAGGAUGACCAGCAACACUGGAACGUGUAAACGGUCCAGACUCCUACGUGAGGCAGAAGUGGUGUAUAUUGCACAAUGGGCGCAAGCCUUAUGCAGCCAUGCCGCGUGUGUGAAGAAGGCCUUAGGGUUGUAAAGUACUUUCAGUAGUGAGCCGUUACCUGCAGAAGAAGCACCGGCUAACUCCGUGACAGCAGCCGCGGUAAUAC